Molecule: RNA transcript, 4578 nt
Organism: Glycine soja
Lineage: Eukaryota; Viridiplantae; Streptophyta; Magnoliopsida; Fabales; Fabaceae
Gene name: protein SUPPRESSOR OF npr1-1, CONSTITUTIVE 1-like
Exons: 7
Source: RefSeq, a predicted model, not a curated record
AAAAAAAGAUAUGAAGCUUCACAGAAACGCUAUAAGCUUAAGCCUAUAAGUUUCUUGUUUGAUUAGAAUGGAGCCCCAACACUCCUCCAUCUACAAUCUUAGAAACCUUUAUUCGAAGUUCUAAUGGCUGUGCGAUCAUCCUCCUACGAUGUAUUCCUCAGCUUCCGAGGGGAAGAUACUCGUCAUGGUUUCACUGGCAAUCUCUACAAUGUCCUCCGGGAAAGGGGAAUUGACACCUUCAUUGAUGACGAGGAGCUCCAGAAAGGGCACGAAAUCACAAAAGCACUUGAGGAGGCAAUUGAGAAGUCCAAGAUUUUCAUCAUCGUGCUCUCUGAAAACUACGCAUCUUCCUCCUUUUGCUUAAACGAACUCACUCACAUCCUUAACUUUACUAAGGGGAAGAGUGAUCGGUCGAUUUUGCCAGUUUUUUAUAAAGUGGAUCCUUCAGAUGUCCGAUACCACAGAGGUAGUUUUGGAGAAGCACUGGCUAAUCAUGAAAAGAACUUGAACUCUAAUUACAUGGAGAAGCUUCAGAUCUGGAAGAUGGCUCUGCAACAAGUUUCUAACUUUUCUGGCCAUCAUUUCCAACCUGAUGGGGACAAAUAUGAAUACGAUUUUAUUAAGGAGAUAGUUGAAUCGGUGCCUAGCAAGUUUAAUCGUAAUCUUUUAUAUGUUUCGGAUGUCCUGGUUGGGCUAAAGUCACCGGUGCUAGCAGUAAAGUCGCUUCUGGAUGUUGGAGCUGAUGAUGUUGUCCACAUGGUGGGGAUCCAUGGACUUGGCGGAGUGGGUAAAACAACACUUGCUGUCGCAGUCUAUAAUUCCAUUGCUUGCCAUUUUGAAGCCUGUUGCUUUCUUGAAAAUGUGAGAGAAACUUCCAACAAAAAGGGGUUAGAAAGUCUCCAAAACAUCCUUCUUUCUAAAACAGUUGGAGAUAUGAAAAUUGAAGUAACAAAUUCGAGAGAAGGAACUGACAUAAUAAAGCGUAAGCUCAAGGAAAAGAAGGUUCUUCUGGUUCUAGAUGAUGUUAAUGAACAUGAACAGUUACAAGCGAUUAUUGACAGCCCUGAUUGGUUUGGUCGUGGUAGUAGAGUCAUCAUCACCACUCGAGAUGAACAAUUGUUAGUGCUUCACAAUGUUAAAAGAACAUAUAAGGUGAGAGAGUUGAAUGAGAAACAUGCUCUUCAAUUACUUACUCAGAAGGCUUUUGGGUUGGAAAAAAAAGUUGAUCCAAGUUACCAUGAUAUUUUGAAUCGAGCGGUAACUUAUGCUUCAGGCCUUCCAUUGGCUUUAAAAGUAAUAGGUUCCAACUUAUUUGGAAAAAGUAUAGAAGAAUGGGAAUCUGUUCUAGAUGGAUAUGAAAGAAGUCCUGAUAAAAGUAUCUAUAUGACACUUAAAGUAAGUUAUGAUGCUUUGAAUGAAGAUGAGAAAAGUAUUUUUCUUGAUAUUGCUUGUUGCUUCAAAGAUUAUGAAUUGGCAAAGGUUCAAGAUAUACUUUAUGCUCAUUAUGAUGAAAUAUGAUAUUGGGGUGUUGGUUGAAAAAUCUCUGAUAAACAUUCAUAGGUCAUGGUAUGAUAAGGAGGUCAUGAGAUUGCAUGACUUGAUAGAAGACGUGGGUAAAGAAAUUGUCCGAAGAGAAUCACCAAAAGAGCCUGGGAAACGUAGCAGGUUAUGGUCCCAUGAGGAUAUAAAGGAAGUUUUACAAGAAAAAAAGGGGACUGGAAAGAUUGAAAUCAUAUGUAUGAAUUUUUCCUCAUUUGGAAAAGAAGUAGAAUGGGACGGAGAUGCCUUAAAGAAGAUGGAAAAUCUCAAAACACUUAUUAUCAAGAGUGCUUGUUUUUCCAAAGGUCCCAAACAUCUUCCGAAUUCUUUAAGAGUAUUGGAAUGGUGGAGAUGUCCUUCACAGGAUUUGCCACAUAAUUUUAACCCAAAGCAACUUGCUAUAUGCAAGUUACCCCAUAGUAACUUUACGUCACUCGGGUUGGCUCCAUUAUUUGAUAAGAGUGUCGUGAAUUUGACAAGUUUAAUUUUGGACGAGUGUGAUAGUUUAACAGAGAUACCAGAUGUAUCCUGUCUCUCAAAAUUGGAAAAAUUGUCAUUUAAAGAUUGUAGGAAUUUAUUUACAAUUCACCCUUCAGUUGGUUUAUUGGAAAAGCUUAAAAUCUUGGAUGCUAAAGGUUGCCGAAAGCUUGAGAGUUUUCCACCGUUGAAGUUGACCUCUCUUGAAUGGCUUAAACUUUCGUAUUGUGUCAAUCUCGAGAGUAUUCCCGAAUGCAUCGAAGAAUGCCGCUUUUUAACUACCCUUAUUGUGGAUGGUUGCGCUCGUCUUCAAGAAAUUAGAGGGAUUCCUCCAAACUUGAAAAAAUUCUCUGCAACAGGAUGCCCAGCCUUGACUUCCUCAAGCAUAAGCAUGUUCCUGAAUCAGGAACUGCAUGAGGCUCGAGACAUCUACGUUAAUUUGCCAAGAGUAAAGAUUCCAAAGUGGUUUGAGUGCCAGAGUCGGGGAGAGUCAAUUGUUUUCUGGUUCCGUAACAAAUUCCCAGCCAUAAUUGUUUGCAUUGAUACAGAGUUUUGCUUUGAUGAGCUUGCUGUCAACGUGUUCAUUAAUGAUGAAGAUGAAAGUAAUCAUGUAAGUUUGGAUGUUACCGAAUGCUGCAUGGGUCCUUCUACAGCUGUUUUUCGUCUUAAAAUGGAAGAUUAUUUAGAUGAAGAACUAUUAAAGAAUGAAUGGAACCGUGCAGAGAUUGGUUGUGAAUAUUUGUGGGACGAAUACGCAAUCCAUGUAUUGAAAGAGCAAAGUAGCAUGGAGGAUAUUCGAUUCACUAAGAAAAGGUUGCGGGUCUGGAAAAAGCAAAGGCGGAGAUGUCCUUCACAGGAUAGUAGCUUUACGUCAGUCGGGUUGGAUCCAUUCUAUGAAAAGACGCUCGUGAAUUUGACAAGUUUAAUUUUGGACGAGUGUGAUAGUUUAACAGAGAUACCAGAUGUAUCCUGUCUCUCAAAUUUGGAAAAUUUGUCAUUUAGUGAGUGUCUGAAUUUAUUUAGAAUUCACCAUUCAGUUGGUUUAUUGGGAAAGCUUAAAAUCUUGAAUGCUGAAGGUUGCCCAGAGCUUAAGAGUUUUCCACCGUUGAAGUUGACCUCUCUUGAAAGCCUUGAUCUUUCGUAUUGUUCCAGUCUCGAGAGUUUUCCUGAAAUAUUAGGAAAGAUGGAAAAUAUAACAGAACUUGACUUGAGCGAAUGUCCCAUAACAAAACUCCCACCUUCAUUUCGAAAUCUUACUCGGCUUCAAGAGUUGGAGUUGGAUCAUGGACCCGAAAGUGCUGAUCAGUUAAUGGACUUUGAUGCUGCCACCCUCAUUUCGAACAUCUGCAUGAUGCCAGAACUAUAUGAUAUUAGUGCUCGCCGUUUGCAAUGGAGGCUAUUGCCAGACGAUGCUUUGAAAUUGACCUCAGUCGUGUGUUCAAGCGUUCAUUCUCUCACUUUGGAACUGUCAGAUGAGCUUCUUCCGCUAUUUCUCUCAUGGUUUGUAAAUGUGGAGAAUUUACGGCUAGAAGGGAGUAAAUGCACAGUCAUUCCCGAAUGCAUCAAAGAAUGCCGCUUUUUAUCUAUCCUUAUUUUGAGUGGUUGCGAUCGUCUUCAAGAAAUUAGAGGGAUUCCUCCAAACUUGGAAAGAUUCGCCGCAACAGAAUCCCCAGACUUGACUUCCUCAAGCAUAAGCAUGUUGCUGAAUCAGGAACUGCAUGAGGCUGGACACACUGACUUUAGUUUGCCAAUAUUAAAGAUUCCAGAGUGGUUUGAGUGCCAGAGUCGGGGACCAUCAAUUUUUUUCUGGUUCCGUAACGAAUUCCCAGCCAUAACUUUUUGCAUUGUUAAGUCACAUUUUGAGGCAUAUUCUUCCGAUUCGCUGGUUCUCAGCGUGAUCAUUAAUAAGAAACAUGAACAUAAACAUGACCGUUUCCAUGAUGGCUGCUUCAGCAAAACACCUUCUACAUCUAUUUUUCGUCUUCAAAUGAAAGAUAAUUUAGAUGAAGAAAUAUCAAAGAGUGAAUGGAACCAUGCAGAGAUUGUAUGUAACCUGUCGUGGGACGAAUGCGGAAUCCAUGUAUUGAAAGAGCAAAGUAGCAUGGAGGAUAUUCGAUUCACUGAUCCUUUUAGGAAAAGAAAAAAUUGUUGUUCGGAGGAGGUUGCUGUUGGGGGAAAAAAGCAAAGAUUAGUAGGCAGUGAAGUUGUUGAGACAAAAUUUGUAGAGCAGCAACAACAUAUGGGUUUUUUGUCACACGUGUGGAACUGGACACUAUCACUUGUAAUGUCUCGCAGAUCCGGCAAUCAAUAAUUGGAUGAAAGAGAGAAUUCAAGUUCAGCAGUGGUAUGGUAUCAACGCUGACAAAAGACAACAGUGUAAGUAGCCCUACUGAUUCUUGUUGUCUAGUCAAGUUUGGUUUUAGAUAUUCUAUUUUGCUUUGGAUUCAAUGAAAAUAGAUCGAGCAUUUCAAUCUCUUAAUACAUUCCUCUGAAUGUACUUUUUUUAAAGAACUAAAAGAAAGGAGUUUUAUGCAAAUGAAUAAAAAACCAAAUAAUUACAUC